UGAACGCUAGCGGCAGGCUUAAUACAUGCAAGUCGUGGGGCAGCAGGUUUGUAGCAAUACAGAUGCUGGCGACCGGCAAACGGGUGCGGAACACGUACAGAACCUUCCUUUGAGCGGGGAAUAGCCCAGAGAAAUUUGGAUUAACUACCCAUAGUAUAAUGAAGUGGCAUCACUUUAUUAUUAAAGAUUUAUCACUCGAAGAUGGCUGUGCGGCUGAUUAGGUAGUUGGCGGGGUAAAGGCCCACCAAGCCUGCGAUCAGUAACUGGUGUGAGAGCACGACCAGUCACACGGGCACUGAGACACGGGCCCGACUCCUACGGGAGGCAGCAGUAAGGAAUAUUGGUCAAUGGAGGCAACUCUGAACCAGCCAUGCCGCGUGGAGGAUGAAGGUCCUCUGGAUUGUAAACUUCUUUUAUAUGGGACGAAAAAAGGCUUUUCUAAGUCGUCUGACGGUACCAUAUGAAUAAGCACCUGCUAACUCCGUG
This 486-nucleotide ribosomal RNA is filed under the name uncultured bacterium. RNAcentral's name for it is "bacterial SSU rRNA". It matches the Rfam family "Bacterial small subunit ribosomal RNA", at positions 30 to 507 of the family's 1533-position model. The record is from RNAcentral.